GUGAACGCUGGCGGUAGGCCUAACACAUGCAAGUCGAACGGCAGCACAGUAAGAGCUUGCUCUUACGGGUGGCGAGUGGCGGACGGGUGAGGAAUACAUCGGAAUCUACUUUUUCGUGGGGGAUAACGUAGGGAAACUUACGCUAAUACCGCAUACGACCUACGGGUGAAAGCAGGGGAUCUUCGGACCUUGCGCGAUUGAAUGAGCCGAUGUCGGAAUAGCUAGUUGGCGGGGUAAAGGCCCACCAAGGCGACGAUCCGUAGCUGGUCUGAGAGGAUGAUCAGCCACACUGGAACUGAGACACGGUCCAGACUCCUACGGGAGGCAGCAGUGGGGAAUAUUGGACAAUGGGCGCAAGCCUGAUCCAGCCAUACCGCGUGGGUGAAGAAGGCCUUCGGGUUGUAAAGCCCUUUUGUUGGGAAAGAAAAGCAGCAGGUUAAUACCCCGCUGUUCUGACGGUACCCAAAGAAUAAGCACCGGCUAACUUCGUG
RNAcentral lists this ribosomal RNA (491 nucleotides) under uncultured bacterium. Its description in RNAcentral is "partial 16S ribosomal RNA". It matches the Rfam family "Bacterial small subunit ribosomal RNA", at positions 29 to 507 of the family's 1533-position model. The record is from RNAcentral.